GCCUCUUUGUAGUUGUUUUGUGUCACUUUGUAGUUGUUGGGUCUUUGUAGUUGUUUUGUGUCUCUUUGUAGAUGUUUUGUGGGCCUUUGAAGUAGUUUUACGGGUCUUUGUAGUUGUUUUGUGUCUCUUUGAAGUAGUUUUGUGUCUCUUUGAAGUAGUUUUGUGUCUCUUUGUAGUAGUUUUGUGGCUCUUUGAAAGUAGUUUUGUGUCUCUUUGAAAGUAGUUUUGUGUCUCUUUGUAGUUGUUUUGUGUCUCUUUGUAGUAGUUUUGUGGGUCUUUGUAGUUGUUUUGUGGGUCUUUGUAGUUGUUUUGUGUCUCUUUGAAGUAGUUUUGUGGGUCUUUUUGUAGUUGUUUUGUGUCUCUUUGAAGUAGUUUUGUGGGUCUUUUGUAGUUGUUUUGUGUCUCUUUGAAGUAGUUUUGUGGGUCUUUGUAGUUGUUUUGUGUCUCUUUGAAGUAGUUUUGUGGGUCUUUGUAGUAGUUUUGUGGGUCUUUUGUAGUUGUUUUGUGUCUCUUUCAAGUUGUUCUGUGGGUCUUUGAAGUUGUUUUCCUGACUGGAGCUCUGUGUCCCGACGAAAACAUAAAUAUUGUUACGUAAUAUUUUCCUAAAUGUAUAAAGCCCAGUUUUCUGUGUUUUCCUGCUGACACUGCAGCUGUAGCAUGACGUACAACUAGUAGCAUGUAAUAUGUUCUCUCUCCACAUGGAGACCCGCUGUCGUCUCUCAGCACUUCCAGAGCAGAAUUCGCCCGGGUCUUCGUGGCCGCGUGCUGUCACUCAUCCCUCCGUCAGCUCCUCGUGGCCCAAAGAAAGCGGCUCAACACUCCGAUUGCUGUUUUGAUGGCG
This is a long non-coding RNA of Gasterosteus aculeatus aculeatus (three-spined stickleback), 841 nucleotides long. NCBI's taxonomy places the organism in Eukaryota, Metazoa, Chordata, Actinopteri, Perciformes, Gasterosteidae. The record is from Ensembl.